This 253-nucleotide ribosomal RNA is filed under the name uncultured bacterium. RNAcentral describes it as "partial 16S ribosomal RNA". It matches the Rfam family "Bacterial small subunit ribosomal RNA", at positions 524 to 776 of the family's 1533-position model. The record is from RNAcentral.
UACGAGGGGGGCGAGCGUUGUUCGGAAUUAUUGGGCGUAAAGAGCUCGUAGGCGGCCGUUCGCGUCGGAUGUGAAAGCUCAGGGCUCAACUCUGAGAUGCCAUUCGAUACGGGACGGCUAGAGGUAGGUAGGGGAGAGUGGAAUUCCUGGUGUAGCGGUGAAAUGCGCAGAUAUCAGGAGGAACACCGGUGGCGAAGGCGGCUCUCUGGGCCUUACCUGACGCUGAGGAGCGAAAGCUGGGGGAGCGAACAGG